This 775-nucleotide ribosomal RNA is filed under the name Bacillus sp. (in: firmicutes). RNAcentral describes it as "bacterial SSU rRNA". It matches the Rfam family "Bacterial small subunit ribosomal RNA", at positions 1 to 761 of the family's 1533-position model. Lineage: Bacteria; Bacillati; Bacillota; Bacilli; Caryophanales; Bacillaceae. RNAcentral also lists the same sequence under 1 other name. The record is from RNAcentral.
UUUUGAGUUUUUUUAUCUGCUCAGGACGAACGCUGGCGGCGUGCCUAAUACAUGCAAGUCGAGCGGACAGAUGGGAGCUUGCUCCCUGAUGUUAGCGGCGGACGGGUGAGUAACACGUGGGUAACCUGCCUGUAAGACUGGGAUAACUCCGGGAAACCGGGGCUAAUACCGGAUGGUUGUUUGAACCGCAUGGUUCAGACAUAAAAGGUGGCUUCGGCUACCACUUACAGAUGGACCCGCGGCGCAUUAGCUAGUUGGUGAGGUAACGGCUCACCAAGGCGACGAUGCGUAGCCGACCUGAGAGGGUGAUCGGCCACACUGGGACUGAGACACGGCCCAGACUCCUACGGGAGGCAGCAGUAGGGAAUCUUCCGCAAUGGACGAAAGUCUGACGGAGCAACGCCGCGUGAGUGAUGAAGGUUUUCGGAUCGUAAAGCUCUGUUGUUAGGGAAGAACAAGUGCCGUUCAAAUAGGGCGGCACCUUGACGGUACCUAACCAGAAAGCCACGGCUAACUACGUGCCAGCAGCCGCGGUAAUACGUAGGUGGCAAGCGUUGUCCGGAAUUAUUGGGCGUAAAGGGCUCGCAGGCGGUUUCUUAAGUCUGAUGUGAAAGCCCCCGGCUCAACCGGGGAGGGUCAUUGGAAACUGGGGAACUUGAGUGCAGAAGAGGAGAGUGGAAUUCCACGUGUAGCGGUGAAAUGCGUAGAGAUGUGGAGGAACACCAGUGGCGAAGGCGACUCUCUGGUCUGUAACUGACGCUGAGGAGCGAAAGCG